GUUUUGAUCCUGCUGAUAAUUUCUUAAUAGAUUGUGGAUCAAAUAAGGAUACUAAUGUUGGUAAUAGGGUUUUUAUGGCUGAUAAAUCAGCUGCUAAGUUUCUUUCAACUUCACAAAAUAUAUUGGCUGAUACCCCUUCAAAUUCUAUUACAAAAGCUGAUGAUUCACCUCUUUAUCAAACUGCUAGAAUUUUCACUCAACAAUCUAGCUAUAAUGAUACCCCUUCAAAUUCAAUUACAAAAGCUGAUGAUUCACCUCUUUAUCAAACUGCUAGAAUUUUCACUCAACAAUCUAGCUAUAAAUUCCCAAUCAGUCAAGUCGGGAGGCAUUGGAUCCGCCUUUAUUUUUAUCCGUUUGUUUAUCAAGAAUAUGAUAUGAGCAAAGCAACUUUCUCUGUUUCC
This 401-nucleotide long non-coding RNA is filed under the name Nicotiana benthamiana. Its description in RNAcentral is "long non-coding RNA (NBEN_LNC037347)". The record is from RNAcentral. Lineage: Eukaryota; Viridiplantae; Streptophyta; Magnoliopsida; Solanales; Solanaceae.